RNAcentral lists this long non-coding RNA (1187 nucleotides) under Piliocolobus tephrosceles (Ugandan red Colobus). RNAcentral describes it as "lncRNA (ENSPTEG00000005189.1)". The record is from RNAcentral. Lineage: Eukaryota; Metazoa; Chordata; Mammalia; Primates; Cercopithecidae.
AGGUGCUUAACUGUGAAAAAAAGGAGCCCCAGGCAUUUUCAUUGUUAUAUAUAUAUAUUUACUCCUAACAAUUUAAUCCUCAUAAUCCUAUAGGGAAGGCAGUCUUAUAUCAUUUUUCAGAUGGAAAACUUGAGACCAGCCUCAAAGCUAGACAAGGGCCAUGGAGGGCCAAGGUCAUGGCAGAGCUCACUUGUCUCCAAAGGGAGCAGUUGUGGACAACUUAAGGUAACAACUGGAUCCAUAAAGAUGGAAGCAAGAAUGACUGAGCAGUCAUCUAGGAGAAAACAAAAGUAUGACGACAGAGACUUCUUGUGAAAAUCAGUGAGUGGCUCUCUGCAGUGGUUACAGAAAUGCCCCAGCAUGGACACCAUCCUGUAAACUGGCUCUGCUGUGCCAGCAGUGAUGGAAAGCACUCAAUUUGCUUUCUCUUGGAAGAGACAGAGUGGCUGUCAGUUUACUGCAAUCUUUUGGACUGCCUGGGAAAUUGAACGUACAACAGGAGAAAGAAGAGGCAGGACACAGAUUCUGGAAUAGAAGUCGAAGACAAAGAGGCUCGUAAACAUCAAGAUUCUGGGCUAAUCUAGCCAUUCACAGUUUUAGAGUCAUGGGCAGUAACACUUAAAAAAUACAUAGUGUUCUAACUACCACAAGGUUUUUCACUCUAGCAACUAAAAAAGCACUGGCCUCAGGAUUUGCAAUAUUAAAAGUCACAGCUCAUCCACCAUCAGAUGCUAACUGACCCUGCUGUUCCACAAGCCAUAACUACAACUUUGAUUGGACAAGAGUCUGGUUUCAGUAACUUUCUCCUGAUUAAGAAGACCACUGACCAUUGACUGGUUCUGCCCAUUUACAGAGAUUACACACUUACCUACCUUUGUAUGUAAAAUGAUCUUUUGAUAUAUAAAGCAUAAUUGUAACACAUUUAAAUGCUAAGUAGCCACCCCAAAGUGAACAUAGGUCAUAUGUUACAUGCAUGUUUGUUCAAUAGGCAUGUGUCAGGACCACCUUCAUGAAUAUUCAUAGCUCCUCCUGUAACCAGUUAAAUAUAUAUGUUUAGCCAACCUCUUUAGCAUAAAGCUCCUACCCCAAGCCCCCUCCUUUGAAGGGCCUGUCUCUGGUCUUGCCUGGAUGGCCACCUUGCAGGCUGUAGCCCUUUGGAAGAAAUAAAGUCUCCUCUCUCCUUUUCA